GAUGAACGCUAGCGGGAGGCCUAACACAUGCAAGCCGAGCGGUAUUGUUUCUUCGGAAAUGAGAGAGCGGCGUACGGGUGCGUAACACGUGUGCAACCUGCCUUUAUCUGGGGGAUAGCCUUUCGAAAGGAAGAUUAAUACUCCAUAAUAUAUUGAACGGCAUCGUUUAAUAUUGAAAGCUCCGGCGGAUAGAGAUGGGCACGCGCAAGAUUAGCUAGUUGGUGAGGUACCGGCUCACCAAGGCGAUGAUCUUUAGGGGGCCUGAGAGGGUGAUCCCCCACACUGGUACUGAGACACGGACCAGACUCCUACGGGAGGCAGCAGUGAGGAAUAUUGGUCAAUGGGUGCAAGCCUGAACCAGCCAUCCCGCGUGAAGGACGACUGCCCUAUGGGUUGUAAACUUCUUUUGUAUAGGGAUAAACCUACCCUAGAGAGGGUAGCUGAAGGUACUAUACGAAUAAGCACCGGCUAACUCCGUG
Molecule: ribosomal RNA, 479 nt
Filed under: uncultured bacterium
Lineage: Bacteria
Description: partial 16S ribosomal RNA
Rfam family: Bacterial small subunit ribosomal RNA
Source: RNAcentral